This is a long non-coding RNA of Capsicum annuum, 5645 nucleotides long. RefSeq lists it as uncharacterized. Lineage: Eukaryota; Viridiplantae; Streptophyta; Magnoliopsida; Solanales; Solanaceae. The transcript has 2 exons. The record is from RefSeq and is a predicted model, not a curated record.
AAGUUUAGCAUUUGGAUCCAUAGGAGUGUCAAUGGUUCGACAUCCCAUCAUUCCUAUUUCCUCAAGAAUGUCUAGAGCAUACUUGCGUUGAGAAAUACCAAUACCUGAGCUGGACUGUGCAACCUCAGUACCUAGAAAGUAUUUCAAUCUGCCAAGGUCUUUAGUCUGGAAAUGCUGAAAGAGAUGUUUCAAGUUAGUGAUACCAUCUUGAUCAUUACCGGUGAAAACAACAUCGUCAACAUAAAUCACUAAAUAAAUACAUUGAUUUGGUUCAGAAUGGCGAUAAAACACUGAAUGAUCAGCUCUACUACGAAUCAUACCAAACUCCUGAAUAAUUGUGCUAAACUUUUCGAACCAAGCUCGAGGAGAUUGUUUCAAACCAUAGAGUGACUUGCGCAAUCGACAUACAAGGCUACUAGACUCCCCCUUAGCAACAAAACCAGGUGGUUGCUCCAUAUAAACUUCUUCCUCAAGAUCAUCAUGCAGAAAAACAUUCUUAAUAUCCAACUGAUAAAGAGGCCAAUGACGAACGGCAGCCAUAGAGAGAAAAAGACGGACAAAUGCUAUUUUAGCCAUGGGAGAGAAAGUGUCACUAUAAUCAAGCCCAAAUAUCUGUGUAUCCUUUGGCAACAAGGUGAGCCUUCAACCGAUCAACCUGACCAUCUGGACCAACUUUGACUGUAUAAGCCCAACGACAACCAACAGUAGAUUUACCUGCACGAAGGGAAACAAGCUCCUAAGUACCACUCAUAUGUAAAGCAGACAUCUCAUCAAUCAUAGUCUGUUUCCAUCUUGAAUGAGAAAGUGCUUCACCUGUAGUCUUAGGAAUGGAAACAGAGGACAAAGAUGAUACAAAAACAUAAUGGGGUGAUGACAAACGAUGAUAACUCAAGAAAGCAUAAUGUGGUUUAGCAUUACGAGUGGAUCUUAUACCUUUUUGAAGUGCAACUGAUUGACUAGGAAGAGGCAAGUCCGCAGUACGGGAAGCGUCAGGCGCAGGACAUGAAUCAUUUGGGACUGUACUGGACGUGGGCGGUGAUGAUAAGUCAAAAGUGGUGGCAUUGUAGCUGAAGAUGGAGAAGUAACCGUAGAUUCCUAAAAGAUUGGUUUGGGUAAGAUUGGAGGUAUGGGUAAAACCUCAGAGAUAUUAAGAUGAUCAGAAGAUGUAUAGAAAGGUUGAGAUUUAAAGAAUGUGACAUCAGAUCAGGUGAACAACAUCGAUACCCUUUUUGAACUCGAGAGUAACCAAGGAAGACACAUUUGAGAGUACGAGGGGCUAAUUUAUCCUUUCCUAGGGCUAAGUUAUGAACAAAACAUGUGCUCCCAAAAACACGAGGGGGAUAGAGUAGAGAUGUGACUGAGGAAAUAGUAUGGAAUGGGGAACCUUAUUCUGGAUCGAAGAUGAUGGCAUUCUAUUAAUGAGAUAGCAAGAUGCGAGGACCGCAUUGCCCCAAAAACGCAAUGGAACAUGGGAUUCAAUGAGAAGAGUGCAAGUAGUCUCAAUGAGAUGCCUAUUUUUCCUUUCUGCUAUACCAUUCUGUUGAGGGGUGUAUGGACAUGAUGUUUGGUGAAUGAUUCCUUGAUGAGUCAUGAACUCCUGAAACUGGGAGGAUAAGUAUUCUAAGGCAUUAUCACUACGAAAAGCACGAAUAGAAAUACCAAAUUGAUUUUGUAUUUCAGCACAAAAACUUUUGAAUAUAGAGAAUAACUCGGAACGAUCUUUCAUUAAGUAAACUCAAGUACAUCUUGAAAAAUCAUCGAUGAAAGUAACAAAGUAACGAAAUUAAGGAUGAACGGACUCUACUAGGACCCCAAAUAUUGGAAUGAACUAAUGAGAAAAUAAACUCUGAGCGACUCUCAAUACUACGUGAAAAAGUAGCACGGGUGUGUUUCCCAAGUUGACACGACUCACAAUCUAAUGUGGAUAGACUAGACCAACUAGGCACCAUCUUUUGUAGCUUGGAUAGACUAGGAUGUUCAAACGUUUGUGAAUAAGGUCGGGAGUAUCUGUAGCGGAGCAUGCUGUGAAGGAAUUUGAAGAGGUAAGAUGGUAAAGGCCCUGUGAUUCAUGUCUUAUGCCAAUUGUCUGUCUCAUUUUGCGGUCCUGCAUUAGAAAAGAAUCAUCAAAAGAAGUUAUACUACAGUUAAGGGCACGUGUCAAACGACUAACAGAUGCAAGAUUAAAAGGACAACCAGGGAUAUAAAGAACAUAGUCUAGAGUGACAGAAGAUAAGGGUUUGGCUUGUCCAACUCCUUUUGGCUCUGUUCGAAUUCCAUUAGCUAAAGUAAUAGUAGGAAGAGAUUGUGAAUAAACAAUAUCAGACAGAAGUGAUUUGUCACCAGAAAUAUGGUCAGAAGCACCUGAGUCCACAACCCAUGAUCCAAAGGUAGGAGAUUUUGCAGUUGAGGCUAUUGGUAGAAAUAUAUUCUUACUUGCUUGAUACUGAAGAUACUCAUUAUAUUCCUUGUCAGAUAAAUAUACACGUUGAUCAUCUGUGGUGUUUGACUAAGCAAUAUGAGCAUUUUUGGAUUGUCGACCAUGCAAAGAAUAGCAUAUUCCACGAGUAUGUGUAAGCCUUUACAAUAACUACACUUAGGUCGAGAAUAGCAUACACCACGAGUAUGUCCAAACCUUUUACAAUAACUACACUUAGGUCGAGAUCUUCCAAAUCGACCUUCCCUUCGUUGAUUCUUCAUAAGCUCUAACAUUUGAGUUUCUGAUCUCCUCAUUAAGAUUCAGAUUUAAUCAUGAAAAGAAAAUAUUGUUUGAAUUUGGCCCUGAAAAAAGGAAAGUCCCCGGAUAUAAGAUCUGAUGUUCGAAAGUUGCUCGGAAUUAGAAAAUAAUCAUAUGAGCAGCCUCGGAAUGAAUAAGCGAAGUUACUAAAAAAAGAAACUGCCGGAAUAGACGCCAGAAUUUAGGUUCCGGUGAUCGGAAUCUUGAAAGGCUUGUCGGAAUCAAGAAAAAACUAUUGGUACAGCCUUUUAAUGAAGUGGCAACUUAGCUGAAAAAAAAUAAAAAAUUGGCCGGAAUAAGCUGCACGCGCCGGCGCGUGAAGCGCGUGAGGCGCAGAUCUGAAAGUUCCGGCGGCACGCGAAUCGCCGAAGAUAAGAUUCGAGCACUGGGGUUUGCUCGCCUGGGUGUUUCUCACCUCGUGGUGGUGUUGGUUUUCGCACACAACACUUAAAAAAUAGACAAGGACUCAAAUUGGACUUAUCAGUCGCCGGAAAUUGAAGUACCGGGCUGUCUUAUUGAGUUUUCUUCCUAGAAAUUUUCUCACAAAACCUGGCUCUGAUACCAUGUGGUGAACAAUAUUAGAGAAAAUAUUAUUGAAUUGUUGUAUCUAAAUUAUUACAUUGAGACCCUAUUUAUAGACACUAUAUUCCAAUCCUAUUCCUAAUAGGACACUACAUUACAAUCCCUUUCUAAGUAGAAUUCAAUAUGCUAUUCCUAUUGAUAUUCUAACAAGACUGACAUGAUAACCAACUACACUGCCAUAACAGUUUCAGCUAAAAGAAUAAGGUAUCGGGGGAUGUUUCUCAGUUGGGAUGCUUAUGUUCGGUUGUCUUAAUUUUGUCACACAAAAAGGGGAAACAAUUGGGCUGUGAUGAUUAUGUUUGCUGAUUGUGCAUUAGAUUUUUGUUGCCUAUAUCUUGGCAUGGCAACUUGAAUUUCUUCUGUUUACCAUGACAGGUGCCAGAAAAGUUGAUGCCCCAGAUACAAAUCUGAGCCACCAGUUGAAAGCAAAGUAUUAACAGUAGUAUUAGUACUUGGACCGUCGGUCUGAUUUAUGAGUUUAAUCCAAAGUAUCCUAAAACUAUGCAACUAUUUUCUCAGAAGUGGCAGUGAUGACAUUUGCUUAUCUGGGCUUCGAAAAUAGAGACAAUCGGAAUCUUGGCUUGGCAAACACUAGUUGCUAUGUGAUUUAAGGCUUCUCUUUCACAUGCAACUGUUACUUUUGCAGCCGCGGCAUGGUCUCUUUAUCGUUUCCUCAUUAAUAACACAGAUUGCGCCUCAAAAACUGUUGAGUAGUCUUGGACAUUGUUUGGUGGAAACCUAUUUUCACUUAUUUUGAAAGCCAGCUCGUAAAUGAGGCAUCAAUGAGAAAUGUGCAACUAUUUAUUUAUUUGCUUAUUCAGUCUGUUUUGCAAGUAAGCCAAGGAUUUCUUGCUGCUGCUACUGUUGAUUCUUGUCUUGCUGCUGCAUUGUUGAGUGUACACCUAAACAGCGAGAAUCAUUCCAGAAAAAGGUGAAAAUUUAAGGCAGUGAUGCAUAUCUUGACAAAUAGCAUUAUUUUUCUGCAUUGAGAUGAUACUAAGACUCGUAUCUUGGCAGGGCAAUCUGUUGAAGGUUGCAGCCAUAGCAUUUCUGAGUAACUUAAUACUUAUCAUAGAGAGAUCUGAGCCUUGUAUCAAGUACUUUCUAUAUUUAUUAACUCCUUUCCCCCAACAUCCUACGUGACAUAUGUAAGAACACAAGAUUUCAAUGACAUUUUAGUACACUACACACAUCUGUUUGGCCUAUGGUUCCUCCAUUAGUUCAACCAGUAGUCCUCUUCCUCUUUAUUCCUCAUAGAAAGCUAAUAUCUGGCACCUUUGCCUUUAUGCUUACUGGAAUCUUAAUAUGAGCUUAGUCCAAAACUUCCAGUGUUUCUUAGAAAUUUGGAAAAGAAUAACCAUUUUCUGAAAGAGGUGGUGAUGAUGCCUGCUUAUCUGGUUAAACCGUAGAACAGGAAUUCCAACCCAUCUCGUGGCUUGGCAAACACCGGCUAUGGUUUGAGGCUUCAUUUUCACAUGGUAUCCUUUUUUUCAGGGGUAGACAUGGUAUGACCUCCUUCUCUGUCUCAUUAGGAGCUCACAUCUGAGCAGCAGCUCGGGAUCAAACACGAAUCCUACGAAUGAAACCCAUUUUGUGUUGUUUCAGCAGCUCAAAGAACGAGAUAUCAGAGAGCAAUGGUGAUUUUUCCCUACGAAAAGAAAUCAACAGCACCCUUUGUGUCAAACGUUGAGUAGUCUUCACCACACCAUUGCAGCUUAAAGAAUAACACUGUAGGAGAUGAUUCUAUGUGAUGACCAUCUCCGACAUUCUGACAAAGUUACACGUUCAUAAAAUCAGGGAGGAGAAACAAUGAGGUUAUGAUGAUAGUGUUUGCCGAGCUCAUUUAGUCGGGCAUUGGAGUUCUGUAGCCGGUGUCUUGAAGGGGCAAUCUGAAUUUCUGGAAUUUGCAGCUAUGGCUGGUGCAAAGAACUCAAUGCCCCACAUAUACUGAGCCUCUUGCAUCAUUUCUCCAUUACCAACGAGGCCAACAAGAGGAAAAAAGGACCAAAGGUCUUGAGUUAAGACAAGCCUAUCUUAACUCCCAGUGACCUGCUCGGGGAGAACUUUUCGCACCACAGCUUUGGGAAUGUGUCUCCUUAUCUUUGUAUGGCUAAUGAACUCCUCAUUUUAGUCUAUUCUUUUCCCUCUUUGGGCUCGAGUUAAUAGUAGCCAUCGACCUUAGAGCAGAUUAUAGCCGUGGAUAUAUUGCUUUUUGUAUGUCUUCCAAGUUCAUAGUGUUAGAGAAAUCUACUUUCAAAACUCUGGAUUCUUGUUUUAUGCUUUAGUCGCCUUUUGUUAUAAUACUCCACUUGUUACUUUUCUCUUUUAA